AUUCCAGACAGCCAGUUAUAUUUUCAAUUUCAGAUUAAAAAAAUUAUUUUUGUGAACAAGUAUGUCUCAGGAUAUAUUGGGGACAUACUUAUACUAAAAAAUUUAUUUGUUGUUUUUCUGAAAUCCAAACCUAACUGGGUAUCCUGAAGUUU
Molecule: microRNA precursor, 152 nt
Filed under: Dasypus novemcinctus (nine-banded armadillo)
Lineage: Eukaryota; Metazoa; Chordata; Mammalia; Cingulata; Dasypodidae
Description: miRNA (ENSDNOG00000028561.1)
Source: RNAcentral